AACGAACGCUGGCGGCAUGCCUAGCACAUGCAAGUCGAACGAUGCCUUCGGGCAUAGUGGCGCACGGGUGCGUAACGCGUGGGAAUCUGCCCUUGGCUUCGGAAUAACAGUUAGAAAUGACUGCUAAUACCGGAUGAUGUCCCCCUGAGAGAUCUUGGGGACCAAAGAUUUAUCGGCCAGGGAUGAGCCCGCGUAGGAUUAGGUAGUUGGUGGGGUAAAGGCCUACCAAGCCGACGAUCCUUAGCUGGUCUGAGAGGAUGAUCAGCCACACUGGGACUGAGACACGGCCCAGACUCCUACGGGAGGCAGCAGUGGGGAAUAUUGGACAAUGGGGGGAACCCUGAUCCAGCAAUGCCGCGUGAGUGAUGAAGGCCUUAGGGUUGUAAAGCUCUUUUACCAGGGAUGAUAAUGACAGUACCUGGAGAAUAAGCUCCGGCUAACUCCGUG
This 447-nucleotide ribosomal RNA is filed under the name uncultured bacterium. RNAcentral describes it as "partial 16S ribosomal RNA". It matches the Rfam family "Bacterial small subunit ribosomal RNA", at positions 29 to 507 of the family's 1533-position model. The record is from RNAcentral.